Molecule: ribosomal RNA, 1518 nt
Filed under: Glaesserella parasuis
Lineage: Bacteria; Pseudomonadati; Pseudomonadota; Gammaproteobacteria; Pasteurellales; Pasteurellaceae
Description: partial 23S ribosomal RNA
Source: RNAcentral
AGUUAAGUGACUAAGCGUACACGGUGGAUGCCUAGGCAAUCAGAGGCGAAGAAGGACGUGCUAAUCUGCGAAAAGCUUGGAUGAGUUGAUAAGAAGCGUUUAAUCCAAGAUAUCCGAAUGGGGAAACCCGAUGGAUGAAGAAUCCAUCAUUUCAUUAUGAAUCCAUAGUAAUGAAAGGCAAACCGGGAGAACUGAAACAUCUAAGUACCCCGAGGAAAAGAAAUCAACCGAGAUUUUGUAAGUAGCGGCGAGCGAAAGCGAAAGAGCCAGUGAGUGAUARCAGCAAAGACAGAAGAAUUGGCUGGGAAGCCAAGCGACACAGGGUGAUAGCCCCGUAUUCGAAGUUUUUGUUGUGGUACUAAGCUUGCAACAAGUAGGGCGGGACACGAGAAAUCCUGUUUGAAGAUGGGGGGACCAUCCUCCAAGGCUAAAUACUCCUGAUUGACCGAUAGUGAACCAGUACUGUGAAGGAAAGGCGAAAAGAACCCCAGUGAGGGGAGUGAAAUAGAACCUGAAACCGUGUACGUACAAGCAGUGGGAGCCCGAAAGGGUGACUGCGUACCUUUUGUAUAAUGGGUCAGCGACUUAUAUUUUGUAGCGAGGUUAACUGAAUAAGGGAGCCGAAGGGAAACCGAGUCUUAACUGGGCGGAUAGUUGCAAGGUAUAGACCCGAAACCCGGUGAUCUAGCCAUGGGCAGGUUGAAGGUUGGGUAACACUAACUGGAGGACCGAACCGACUAAUGUUGAAAAAUUAGCGGAUGACUUGUGGCUGGGGGUGAAAGGCCAAUCAAACCGGGAGAUAGCUGGUUCUCCCCGAAAUCUAUUUAGGUAGAGCCUUAUGUGAAUACCUUCGGGGGUAGAGCACUGUUUCGGCUAGGGGUCCAUCCCGGAUUACCAACCCGAUGCAAACUGCGAAUACCGAAGAGUAAUGCAUAGGAGACACACGGUGGGUGCUAACGUCCAUCGUGGAGAGGGAAACAACCCAGACCGCCAGCUAAGGUCCCAAAGUCUAUAUUAAGUGGGAAACGAAGUGGGAAGGCUUAGACAGCUAGGAUGUUGGCUUAGAAGCAGCCAUCAUUUAAAGAAAGCGUAAUAGCUCACUAGUCGAGUCGGCCUGCGCGGAAGAUGUAACGGGGCUAAAAUAUAGCACCGAAGCUGCGGCAUCAGGCGUAUCACUAAUACGCCUUAAGAUUAACAACAUCGAAUGAAGUGAAACGGAAAGAGAUGUUGGUCAAGCAACCCGAACGUUGAGUCGGAAAGUAAUCGAAGAGAGGAUUAUUAGUGAUACGUCUGUUGGGUAGGGGAGCGUUGUGUAAGCGGAUGAAGGUGAAUCGAGAGGUUUGCUGGACGUAUCACAAGUGCGAAUGCUGACAUAAGUAACGAUAAAACGAGUGAAAAACUCGUUCGCCGGAAGACCAAGGGUUCCUGUCCAACGUUAAUCGGGGCAGGGUGAGUCGGCCCCUAAGGCGAGGCUGAAAAGCGUAGUCGAUGGGAAACGGGUUAAUAUUCCCGUACUUG